Molecule: ribosomal RNA, 433 nt
Filed under: uncultured bacterium
Lineage: Bacteria
Description: partial 16S ribosomal RNA
Rfam family: Bacterial small subunit ribosomal RNA
Source: RNAcentral
AACGAACGCUGGCGGCAUGCCUAACACAUGCAAGUCGAACGAGACCUUCGGGCCUAGUGGCGCACGGGUGCGUAACGCGUGGGAACCUGCCCUUAGGUUCGGAAUAACUCCCCGAAAGGGGUGCUAAUACCGGAUAAUGUCUUCGGACCAAAGAGUUAUCGCCUUUGGAUGGGCCCGCGUUGGAUUAGCUAGUUGGUAGGGUAAAAGCCUACCAAGGCGACGUUCCAUGGCUGGUUGGAGAGGAUGAUCAGCCACCCUGGGACUGAGACACGGCCCAGACCCGUACGGGAGGCAGCAGUGGGGAAUAUUGGACAAUGGGCGAAAGCCUGAUCCAGCAAUGCCGCGUGAGUGAUGAAGGCCUUAGGGUUGUAAAGCUCUUUUACCCGGGAUGAUAAUGACAGUACCGGGAGAAUAAGCUCCGGCUAACUCCGUG